AGCAGUGGUGGAGAAGACCGUACCUCCAAGCUGCUGCGAGUAGCGCGGACAUCGAGUUUCGGGAUUUGGCAGCAUCCCACAGUUGCCGGGUUGUGAAAAUCCAACAAGAUUUUAUACAAAUUUCCAUACAAGUGCAUCUUAUACUUGCUGUUUUUGCUCUUUCGAUAUUCUACGAUAUUUUUAUGUAUAUCGAAAAUAUUUGUACCAAGAAUACGGAUAUUAUUAUAACGGCUUAGUGUAUAUAGAAUGUGAGAAAAGGAAAAAAAAAUAGUAGAAUAAGCGUAGGAUUAUUUGGCGGAUUGGCAUCGUUUCAUAGUCGAUAAAUAGAAGAAAAAUCUCGUUAACUCUCGGUCGCAGUGUUACAAGCUCGUGCUUGAAUUCGCGAUUAGCAAACGACUAUUGAACGCAUACAAAUAGGCUGGAAGAGUCAGCUAUAAUCAGCGAGCAACGAUCAUGAGCCCGUGACAAGCAAGCGAUAUUACGAUGCGAUAUUACGAUGCGAUAUUACGAUGCGAUAUUACGAUGCAAUCUUAUGACCCGUUUUCCAUGCUCGUAUUUACAAUAUUUGAGAACGUUAUUACCAACUGAAUAUGGCCUUCAAUACCGAAAUAACCAGUUUUCCUCGAAUCCUGACGGUUCGUUUUGAAAUAAAAACGAAAUCCAAUCGUCGAUAUUCACGAGGUCUCAUUGGAAAAAUUGUCUCGAAAAUGUGUGCUGGAAAUUAUUGUUAGUUGUUAUGUAAACGCAUCGAAGAAAACGACUUUCAUGAAGUAAUCGUUUUUAAGUAUGUAUUUAUAAUUUCAAAGAUAACGAUCGAAAACAUGUUUUUAAGUGACGUUACGCAAAAUAAUACAAUUUUUUAUUGAAAUGAUUAGAACAAGAGAGUGAAACAAAAAGAAACGCCUCCGAGUUUAGGAGGCAGUAAUAAACAAAAUAAAUGUUCUUUGAGCUCGACGCACGUAUGCAUAUUGCAUAUAUACAUAGGUAAAAAGUUUAAACACGCUAAAGAAUUCGCUGAGUAAUCGAAGAAAAGACCUUGUAGACUUGAGCGACUGUAAAACAGUUCAAAGCUCCCUCGCGAAGACGUAAUAGUCACGAUCUUGGUUACGUGGGGGCAGCACUUACUAGUCAUGGAUAUGAGAUAUGUUAUUUCCUUAACCCAUACAUACACAAAUCUUCGUUCACUUCUCGCAUUCUUACGUGCGAGUCGAGCUACGAGAUCUCUAUUUUUACACCUCGUUAUGUCAACGAUUACGAAGAACAUGAAAUUCUACACUAAGGAAGUUGUAUGAUAUAAAAGUAAAGAUCGUAUCUUAUAAAAACACGUUAUAACCU
Molecule: long non-coding RNA, 1335 nt
Organism: Polistes canadensis
Lineage: Eukaryota; Metazoa; Arthropoda; Insecta; Hymenoptera; Vespidae
Exons: 3
Source: RefSeq, a predicted model, not a curated record